AUUGAACGCUGGCGGCAUGCCUUACACAUGCAAGUCGAACGGCAGCGCGGACUUCGGUCUGGCGGCGAGUGGCGAACGGGUGAGUAAUACAUCGGAACGUACCCUGUUGUGGGGGAUAACUAGUCGAAAGAUUAGCUAAUACCGCAUACGACCUGAGGGUGAAAGUGGGGGAUCGCAAGGCCUCACGCAGCAGGAGCGGCCGAUGUCUGAUUAGCUAGUUGGUGGGGUAAAGGCCCACCAAGGCGACGAUCAGUAGCUGGUCUGAGAGGACGAUCAGCCACACUGGGACUGAGACACGGCCCAGACUCCUACGGGAGGCAGCAGUGGGGAAUUUUGGACAAUGGGGGCAACCCUGAUCCAGCAAUGCCGCGUGUGUGAAGAAGGCCUUCGGGUUGUAAAGUACUUUUGUCCGGAAAGAAAUCGCGCUGGUUAAUACCUGGCGUGGAUGACGGUACCGAAAGAAUAAGCACCGGCUAACUACGUG
Molecule: ribosomal RNA, 484 nt
Filed under: uncultured bacterium
Lineage: Bacteria
Description: partial 16S ribosomal RNA
Rfam family: Bacterial small subunit ribosomal RNA
Source: RNAcentral